GAUGAACGCUGGCGGCGUGCCUAAUACAUGCAAGUAGAACGCUGAAGGAAGGAGCUUGCUCUUUCCGGAUGAGUUGCGAACGGGUGAGUAACGCGUAGGUAACCUGCCUGGUAGCGGGGGAUAACUAUUGGAAACGAUAGCUAAUACCGCAUAACAGUAGAUGUUGCAUGAUAUCUACUUAAAAGGUGCAAUUGCACCACUACCAGAUGGACCUGCGUUGUAUUAGCUAGUUGGUGAGGUAACGGCUCACCAAGGCGACGAUACAUAGCCGACCUGAGAGGGUGAUCAGCCACACUGGGACUGAGACACGGCCCAGACUCCUACGGGAGGCAGCAGUAGGGAAUCUUCGGCAAUGGACGGAAGUCUGACCGAGCAACGCCGCGUGAGUGAAGAAGGUUUUCGGAUCGUAAAGCUCUGUUGUAAGAGAAGAACGAGUGUGAGAGUGGAAAGUUCACAAUGUGACGGUAUCUUACCAGAAAGGGACGGCUAACUACGUG
Molecule: ribosomal RNA, 497 nt
Filed under: uncultured bacterium
Lineage: Bacteria
Description: partial 16S ribosomal RNA
Rfam family: Bacterial small subunit ribosomal RNA
Source: RNAcentral